RNAcentral lists this ribosomal RNA (147 nucleotides) under uncultured bacterium. RNAcentral describes it as "partial 16S rRNA". It matches the Rfam family "Bacterial small subunit ribosomal RNA", at positions 359 to 507 of the family's 1533-position model. The record is from RNAcentral.
GAAUCUUCCACAAUGGGCGCAAGCCUGAUGGAGCGACGCCGCGUGAGGGAAGAAGGUUUUCGGAUCGUAAACCUCUGAAUCUGGGACGAAAGACGCGACGAGCGGGAUGACGUGUACCAGAGUAAUGAGCACUCGGCUAACUCCGUG